Molecule: long non-coding RNA, 222 nt
Filed under: Homo sapiens (human)
Lineage: Eukaryota; Metazoa; Chordata; Mammalia; Primates; Hominidae
Description: non-protein coding lnc-NEDD9-1:1
Source: RNAcentral
CAACAAGAGGAACCACCAGCUGAGAGUCAGGAUGUUGAAGCUGGACAAGAGAGAGAAGAAGGAGCACCUGUAGCUGAAGGUGAGGAGGAAACUGAACUGGAAGGUGACUGCCAGGAAAUGGGUCUGGGAAAGAGUGGGAGUGAGUAUGCAGAUGGCCUCAAUGUGAAAAGGAAGAUUCUGCCUAACCUACAGUGUGCUAGAAUUCCAGAAGAAGGUGGUGGA